AUAACUUUGCAGUAUCUUUCCCUCUCUUUUUUUUUUCUCAUUAAACUUUUGUUUUAAUGGGUCUCAAAAUUCCAUGACAGAUUUUUGGUCAAGUUGUUUCCAUUAAAAAGGAUUGAUUUUAAAAACUAAUAACUUAAAACUGCCACACACAAAAAAAACCAAAUGGUCCACAAAACAUUCUCCUUUCCUUCUGAAGGUUUUACGAUGCAUUGUUAUCAUUAACCAGUCUUUUACUAUUAAACUUAAAUGGCCAAUUGACACAAACAGUUCUGAGACCGUUCUUCCACCACUGAUUAAGACUGGGGUGGCAGAGAUCGGGAGGCCACCAUAUUGUUCUCCUCCUCCAAAGCAAUACAGAAAAGCUAUCAGGGAACAAAAGCUACUGAGAGUGAACCUGAGCAGAUUACUUAGCCUGGCCCCUAGCAAGGGUGGUGUAAUUCUGCCUCAGGUAAAGACAUUUGAGAAUCACUGCAACAUACCGCACCCCUAGAAGGUCAACAGCAACAUUCAGCCAAGAGCAAGUUCACUGAUCAAUGAGAACUGCAAAACUUCAGAGCUACAGGAAUACAGCAUAUAGAGUUCAUGGCUUCCCCCCCAUGAUUCUUUAGUCUUUUA
RNAcentral lists this long non-coding RNA (615 nucleotides) under Mustela putorius furo (domestic ferret). RNAcentral describes it as "lncRNA (ENSMPUG00000031666.1)". The record is from RNAcentral. Lineage: Eukaryota; Metazoa; Chordata; Mammalia; Carnivora; Mustelidae.